Molecule: long non-coding RNA, 202 nt
Filed under: Elaeis guineensis (African oil palm)
Lineage: Eukaryota; Viridiplantae; Streptophyta; Magnoliopsida; Arecales; Arecaceae
Description: long non-coding RNA (EGUI_LNC042179)
Source: RNAcentral
AAGCCACUCUCCAAGACUCCUCACAGUCUGGCUGCCUCCGCAGAUAGGUUUGAGACCUCAGUGAUGUCCUCAUGUGGCUGUGGAUGGGCUAGAGCAAGUACUUGCCUCUGCAAGUUGAAUACUCUGCCAGUCAGUCUCACUACACAACCCUCAAGCUGCUCGAUGCGAACUGACUAAUCAAAAAUCAUCUGGAAUACAGUGG